AGCGAACGCUGGCGGCAGGCCUAACACAUGCAAGUCGAACGAACCUUUCGGGGUUAGUGGCGGACGGGUGAGUAACACGUGGGAACGUGCCUUUAGGUUCGGAAUAACUCAGGUAAACUUGUGCUAAUACCGAAUGUGCCCUUCGGGGGAAAGAUUUAUCGCCUUUAGAGCGGCCCGCGUCUGAUUAGCUAGUUGGUUGAGGUAAUGGCUCACCAAGGCUACGAUCAGUAGCUGGUCUGAGAGGAUGAUCAGCCACAUUGGGACUGAGACACGGCCCAAAAUCCUACGGGAGGCAGCAGUGGGGAAUCUUGCGCAAUGGGCGAAGGCCUGACGCAGCCAUGCCGCGUGAAUGAUGAAGGUCUGAGGAUUGUAAAAUUCUUUCACCGGGGACGAUAAUGACGGUACCCGGAGAAGAAGCCCCGGCUAACUUCGUG
RNAcentral lists this ribosomal RNA (434 nucleotides) under uncultured bacterium. Its description in RNAcentral is "partial 16S ribosomal RNA". It matches the Rfam family "Bacterial small subunit ribosomal RNA", at positions 29 to 507 of the family's 1533-position model. The record is from RNAcentral.